This 250-nucleotide ribosomal RNA is filed under the name Hyalomma dromedarii. RNAcentral's name for it is "partial large subunit ribosomal RNA". The record is from RNAcentral. Lineage: Eukaryota; Metazoa; Arthropoda; Arachnida; Ixodida; Ixodidae.
AAUGCUAAAAGAAUGGAAGUUUAAGAAAAAACUUUUUUAAAAAUAAAAAUUAAAUUUUUUUUAAUUUGUGCAAAACCAAUUAUUUAUAUUAAAGACAAGAAGACCCUAUGAAUUUAUGAUUAAAUAAACUAAAAAUUUUUAGUUUAUUUAAUCUUGAUUGGGGCAAUCAAAAAAUAUUAAUAACUUUUUUAAAUUUAAAUGAUCUAUUAUUAAUAAUCUAAUGGAAUAAAUACUCUAGGGAUAACAGCGU